UUUCAAUUCACGGUUGUAACACCUUUUCUCUCUCUUUCCCUCUUUUCUCGCCGAAAAGUCAUUCAUUUUACCUGAUUUAGCUAGAGAAAGCAAAGUAGCUACAGAUGCGGCGACAUCAACAUCUCAGCUCGACUCGAGAUCUGAUAGUUGAGAUCAACAUUUUCAACAUCAGCAGCAGCUGCGGCGGUAACAGCGGUGGCGACAGCGACAGCGACAGCGGCAGCAGCAGCGGCAACAGUAGCAGUGCAACUUGAACAUCAGCAAUAGCUGCGGGGACAACAGCGCCGCUGGUUGAACUGUUGCUGUUAUUUCUUGGGUUUUAAGAUUAGAUAGUUCUAUCUAGGCCUUAAAUAAUAUGUUGUUCUUGUGGUUUCAAUUUGGGAAUUUGAAUUGUUUAAAUUCCACCAUGGAUUUAUGAAGGAGAGGCUGGCCCUUUUUGUUUUUC
Long non-coding RNA from Macadamia integrifolia, 445 nucleotides. RefSeq lists it as uncharacterized. NCBI's taxonomy places the organism in Eukaryota, Viridiplantae, Streptophyta, Magnoliopsida, Proteales, Proteaceae. The transcript has 2 exons. The record is from RefSeq and is a predicted model, not a curated record.